RNAcentral lists this non-coding RNA (106 nucleotides) under Bacillus sp. (in: firmicutes). RNAcentral describes it as "Bacillus sp. SAM-I sequence". It matches the Rfam family "SAM riboswitch aptamer (S box leader)". From Rfam's summary of the family: The SAM riboswitch is found upstream of a number of genes which code for proteins involved in methionine or cysteine biosynthesis in Gram-positive bacteria. The SAM riboswitch acts at the level of transcription termination control. RNAcentral also lists the same sequence under 1 other name. Lineage: Bacteria; Bacillati; Bacillota; Bacilli; Caryophanales; Bacillaceae. The record is from RNAcentral.
UUCUUAUCGAGAGAGGCAGAGGGACUGGCCCGAUGAAGCCUCGGCAGCGGAUUCCAUUUUGGAAUCUAUGCCAAAUCCAGCAAGCGAAAAGCUUGAGAGAUAAGAA